UAUAUUUAAGUGUCUAGCAUAAAAAAUUUUGAAUUUUUUGGGUUUAAUUUAUAUUAAAAAAUAUAA
RNAcentral lists this transfer RNA (66 nucleotides) under Pachypsylla venusta (hackberry petiole gall psyllid). RNAcentral's name for it is "tRNA-Gln". Lineage: Eukaryota; Metazoa; Arthropoda; Insecta; Hemiptera; Aphalaridae. The record is from RNAcentral.